UUUGGCGGUGAGGGAUAAGGAGAUGUAGAGAGAGUCUGUCAGGGAGUAUUCUCCAGAUGGUCCACUCUGCUCUAGCCCCGGCCGAGUACAAAGACUACUUUCCCACAGAGACGCAUCUCCAACCCAGACAUGAAGCAACACCGUCGCUCACUCUCUGGAAGUUCGCGUGUCGCGCACGCGCGCUGAGCACCCGUGGCUGCCGGGCCUCAGUGCGCCUGCGCAGCGACUCGGCUUUCUGAGGCGCGCGUUUGCCCAGGUGUUGAGCGGCGUCGCCUGGCUAACGUGACCAAGCUUUGAGAAGUUGGGAUUGCGGAGCUGCUGGGUUGUGCGCGGUGGCUGGCCACAGUACCCAGCCGGUACUGGGCUCCGGAGCCGCCGGCAGUUUCGGCUGUGAGGAGUUAAACGCCGGGGGCUCUGGCGCUCCUCCGUUGGGUGUGAGAACGGAUUUGAGACUCGCACCCGAGACACAGACCUCGGGAAGAUCCGCAAAGCUGCCUGUGCGGGGACACGGCCGGAGGGCAGCGCCUCCUCUUUGUUGGGGAGAAACACGGACAGGUGCUUCCACCUUGGAGAGAGCAUGGACUGGAGGGUAAGCAUUUACUGGAAGCACUGUUAUCAAAGACGGAAGACAACAGCUAAUCAUUUGGGGAAGACCAGUGUAUGCUCAAGAGAUGGAAAGCUUUUUUGCUUGGAAAUUACAGGUUCAAAAUUGCUAAGACAAAAUGCUGUAAGUUCUUAGGCUGGUUAGGAAAACAUGUAGGUAUGAGAGUAGCAUGCUAGAAACUAGUCAAGGAAAUUAGGAUAAAUGCUGUCUGAACGGGGAGAUUGUAAAAGCAAGUGAAUCUAGUCUGACAGAUAGAAUUAUCUCAUAGGAUAAACAGUGUUUCUAUUUUUCUAGGUCCAGAAGACCAUUGCAGACUGACAUAUUUUUCAGUUUUUGCCAUGUUAUAAGUAUUCUCUCGCCUGGAAAGAUGUGAAAUUGUUAAAUUGUCGCUCUUAUCCCUGAAACCCGGCACUACGUGAUUCUAGUGAUUGUGAUGAAUAUAAUAUAAACACUUCACAGUAAGAAGAAAGGGAAGCACACGAUAACUUGCACAGUUAUUUUCUGCACAUUGUGUGUGGCACAUUGUGCAUGCCUACCCAGUUAUAUCACCAAGAACUCAAGUGCUUUGCAUCUCUCUUCUCUGCCAUUGUCAGCACGUAUCUCAUUCUCAGGUGAGUUCUCAUUGUCACAAGCUUGCUGCAGCAUUUUCAGAAACACAUUGAGACAGGACACAAACCAGCCAGAGAAGAAUGAUUUAUCUCAUGUACCUCUUAAAAGUAGAUUGAGACUUAUCCAUGCCUGACUCUCAAUGAGAUAGUUAAAAAGUAUGCAGGUACUUCUAAAAAGUUCACAGAGGAAAUAAGAAAGGAAUUUAUUGAGGACAAAAAAUAUUAAAAUCUGUGUAUACAACUGAUCUUCAAAAACCUUAUGAAAAAUGAAUAUUAUAAAAUCUGCAUGAAUUACCAAAAAAUCUUUAAAUUCUCUUUUGCAUGAUCAUUUUGAAGUCCCCUCAUAUUUAAUAGUAGAGUUUGCAUUUUCUCUUUGGAAACUUUUUCAGAUUAGACAAGACAGUUUAUUUUUUUUUAAUAUUUAUUUAUUUUAUUUGAAAGUCAGAGUUACACAGAUAGAGAAGGAGAGGCAGAGAGACUGAGGUCUUCCAUCUGCUGGUUCACUCCCCAGUUGGCCGCAACAUCCACAGCUGGGCAGAUCUGAAGCUAGAAGCCAGGAGCUUCCUUCAUGUCUCCCACAUAAAUGCAGGGGCCCGAGGACUUGGGCCAUCUUCUACUACUUUCCCAGGCCAUAGUAGAGAGCUGGAUUGGAAGUAGAGCAGCCAGGACUAGAACCGGUGUCCAUAUGGGAUGCCAGCACUGCAGGCGGUGGCUUUACCUGCUACACCAUAGCGCCGGCGCAAGGUCAAACAGUUUUGGUGAGGAAAGUGACAACUUUGGUGAGCUUCUUUUAAGCAAAAUGGUAUUUUUGUUUAAUGUCUUUAAAUGAAUCUCAUAUCUUUUUAUGUCUUUUCUAUCCAUAAUUAUUAUAGCUAUGGAAAGAAAACACUUUGCAGCCCAAAAUAAGAUAUUUUUAGAAAUAAUACCAAAUGGUUUAUAAUGAAUUGUCCAGUCUUUAUCUAACCAUCCAUUUAACUGAUUCGUAGAGGAUUUUUCUUCUUUUUACCAGUAGAGGGUGCUACAAUCCUGAGUAUAAAAGCUUUUCUUAAGGCAGAUAUAACAUCACAACUUUUAUCUUGUUGAAAUAUUACACCUUUAAAUUUACAAUCUGAGUACUAGAAAUGUGAAGUGAUGUAUAUUUUAUAAUUUGUAACUUUGGAACUAUACAAGGAAACUUCAAAAAGUUCAUGGAAAAUGGAAUUUAAUGGUAAGUUUAUUUUGGUGCAAAAUUUUUUGAAAUUCAUGUAUAGAUUUUUUCAUAACAUGAAUUUCCAUCAAUGUUUGCAUACCCUUCUAUGCUUGGAUUCUAAGAUUUAUUUUUGUGCCAAAGUCAACUCUCAAUUCUAUCUUCCAUAGUUUUUUUAUGGAUUACCAGUACAUUGUUUAUGAUAUUCCAGUUACUCAGUAUUUCUUUGUAUAUCUCCUAAUAUGAACUUCUUUGCCUGCCUAAGCAAACUUCAUUACAAGGUAUGUGUUUCCCUUACCUUGCUUUCACCUUUACUCAUGUGUCCCUGUUUUCUGGAUCACCAGUGUUUGUCAUCUGUCUGUAUAUGAUUUGCUUGAGACCCAGUUCAGAACCAACUCUCAGUUUGUAUAGCAUGGUGCAGUUCCUGUUGGUACUUAAGCAAAUGUUUAUUUUAUGUUUAUUAGAGGAAAUAACAGCUUUUAUUUUUCUACUAUUAAAUCAUAAACUUGAUAAAUACAGGAUGUUCAAUUAAAUUUGAAUAUCAAAUAAGCAACACUUUUGUAUAAUUAUGUCUCAGAAAUAUUUGUGAUAUGCUCACCAUAAAAUUUAUCUGAAAUUCGUAUUUAAUGAUAUGAUUUGUAUUUUUAUUUGCUAAACCUGUCAACCCUAAACAUAAACAUGUAGAGCAGAAUCAUUGUCGUGUUCAUCAUAUUCUUAACUGCAGAGCAUGUGUCAACUCAUAGAGAAUGCUCAAUGGAAAAGAGUGAAAAUGGACUAAAUGACUUAGUUUUUAUAGAAUGAAUGUUUUCACUUUGGAAAAUAACCGCUUUUAAAUGAUCUGCAUUAGUUUUGCAUUAAUGUGUUGGCAAUGAAUUUUUAUUCAUUCUAAAAAGGAAAUAGUUGUAUGAAACCACUGAGUUAAGUAGAAAUUUACAGACUUAAAAUAAAAAUUGGAGGGAACAUUGAAAGAUAUUUAUGUGCCUUAAUAAAUCUCUUAGGGUUGUUAAGAAAUGUUAUGUGGUUAAGAAAAUUCUCUUGCAAAAUAAUUAUGGAUUUCUUAAAAAUUAUGAUUUUAAAAGAUGCAUUAUGUAUAGAAUCAAAAACAGAGUUAUAAAAAGAUGGUACCAGUACUAUUCAUCAUUUAGAGUAAUGGGAUUAUUCUCAUAUGUUGCUUUGAAAAGGAGGGAAAACUAUUGUAUAGUUAUUACCCUAUUUGAAUAAAUACAUAUUUCAUAUUUAUUCAAAAAUUCCUGUUAGUCUGGCUACCCUCAGCUAAACCUAAGACAUCUGUUUACAAAUUUCUUAUGCUUUUGAUUCAUUGACCUAGAAAAAGAAAAGAAUACCCCCUAUCAACAUGUAAAUACUAUUUUAUGUCUGAAUCCUUUCCCUGACUCUUGGAAGAUAAAUGUUGGACAAUCUUAUGAUCAAAUUCCAUUAUAUACGGCAUGAUGUUACAUUAGUGUUUAGAGAGAUGAAAUUAUACUGAUACAGCCAAUAUGUUCAUGGUUGUCUAUAUACUCUUAUGUAUUCCAGAAGCUAUUUAGAAAGUUCUUGCACUUUACCUAGUAAGAGCCCUUUUAUAAAUUCCCACAAAUAUGUAUAGAAUCUCAUAGAAAAGCAUAGGUUCAGUCAAUCCCACUACAUUUUAAGACAGAAGGUAAGUUCAUAAUUCUUGGAGGCCAAGAGAAGUGACUCUGAGCUUCUCUUAGUGGUUUGCUUCUGAUCAGUCAGGCACUAAAGGGCACAGGUUUGCUUUUUCACAUGGGACCAUUUCUCUCUGGCCCCUGCUACUGCAUCUCUUUGUGGUCUCCCUCUUCUUGUCUUUAUCCCCAGUCUUCUUGUGCAGAUGCUGUCGUGGGGCCCCAUUGUGGGGGAGGAGCAUCCGAGGGCUGAUCUGUUUCUGUCCUAGUGGCCUGGGAAGACAGACUUCUUUCCUCCACCCCUUUCCCAAGUAGUCAUUGAGACAGACCAGAGGUUUCAUGAUUAGGAACUUCAUGUCCAUGUACCCUGAUCCCUGCAGUGGCUCCAAAGGAAGAAAAAUCCGUACAAAAUUUGGACCUGUGGGUAGAUUUUUUCCCCAGCAGUCAGUGCUGUUAACAAUACAUUCAGCCUGGUGUUUCUGAUUACUCUUCUCUCCUCGUUCCUUGGUCUGAGGGAGGUCAUACUGAAGGUUUUUCUUCAAACAGUAUCACAUAUGACUUGGACACAUUCAAAUUUUAAAUUCAUUUGCAAAAGGAACUUUGUUUAAAUGAUUUAUUUUUCAGUUUAAGUAAAACUUUAGACUAUAGAUCCUAAUUCAAACAAUUUUCCUCCAUGACUUACUGUUUUAAAUAAAUAAAUCUUCAAAAUGAUUUUUGCGGUUUUGUAGACCUUUCAGUAUUCUAGCCAUUUUCAGUCUUCUUCUGAUUUAUUUAAUUCUUCCUACUUUAUUAUAGUUGAAUAAUAUAUUUGCACAUUAUUCCUGAUGUUCAUUAAAAAUUUAAAAUAUCAGGUAUGUGGUUCUUACCUGUUAACAAUGAAUCCAGAUGUUUUCUACUGAAAGGGUGCCAGGUUUUCUUACUAUCAUAGAUCUAACUUUGGAGAAUAAAUUUGGAACAAUUCUGUAGGGACGAUUGGUCACAGAUGGCUGAGUGAUAAUAAAUCUCCAGAUUGAGAUAGAGUCCUUCUGGAUUGCAGCACUUGAAUUGAUUUUAAUAAUUUGAAAUAUUCUAUCCUUUAUCAACCAAGUAAACAUAGGUAUUCCUUAUUUAAGUUAUUCUGAUUUUGCAAAAGACAUGUAAUUAUAUUAUAACUCCUUAAUUUUAUCCUUGGUCUUAAACCCCAUACUGUGACAUCUGUGUCAAAACUUUACUCUUUUCCCCCAAACCAUAAGAGUUUAGUUUCUUAAUAACCUGAAAAUAAAACAAACAAACAAAAAGAGACCCUCUUGCAGGAAAUGUUCCCAUGUGUCCCAAGCUGAGCUAUACUGCUCUUUCUCCUAUUCAUGAUCAUAUUUAGCACAUAGCAUAAUCAUUACUGGCUUAUAUAACUGAGCUCCUUGGAGGCAGGAACUAUUUCUUAUUAAUCAUUGCAUCUCCACUGCUUAGCAGAGUUCCUGGUAUUCAUAGAUGCUCACUAAAGAAUGAAGAAAAGUCAUUUAUUGGGAGUUUUAUAUUCAGUCACCUCUUCUGCCUAGAAAAUGAUAUAGGAAGGAAUGAAUACUUCAGUUAUUUUAGAAAAAUGUUUUUGACUAAUUUACAAGCCAAAGGAACUUUACACAUUGUUAUUCAUAUAAGAAUUUUAGCCCAGUUUCACAAUAUGAUUUAUUACAUUAGAGAUGUUAGAACAUUGUUUUGUUUUGUUUUGUUAAUUUUACAAAUCAGGGCCCCAGUAGAACCUGAUGCCAUAUUCACAUUAGGGUAACUUGUGGCAGGUAAGGGUGUUUUAGGAAGGUACUAUGUAAAAAGAGUGGGCAACAUUAGCAUCCCAUAUGGGCGCUGAUUCAAAUCCUGGCUGCUCCAUUUCUGAUCCAGCUCCCUGCUAAUGUGCCUGGAAAAGCAGCAGAAGUGACCCAAUUGCUUGAGUCUCUGUAACGCAUGUGGGAGACCCAGAAGAAGCUCCAGGAUUUGGUCUGUCCCAGCCUUGGCUGUUGCAGACAUUUGGGGAGUUAACCAGUGGAUGGAAAAACUCUGCCUUUCAAACAAAUAAAUAAAUCUUUAAAAAUGUGCUAAUAAGUAUAUCACCUAAUUCUGAAAGCAUUGAGCAGUAUAGGUUUAUACAAAAACAUUUGUUGAACUUCUAAUCACUACUAGGCACCAUGCUAAAAUGCUGGGGAAAACGUGGCAAGCAAGAGACGUGGUUGGAGCCGUCAUGAAGCUCUCAGUCUGGCAGGCCAUUAGUGCUCCUCUGAUGAGUAAAGCUCUUGGUGAUAUGAUUGUUUCUGAAUGCUGGAGGAUGCCCAGUCUUCUGUGUUAUGAAUGAGUCCAGCUCCAAGACCGUCUUGUAAGUGUCUUGUAUCUCCAGAUUGUCAAGGAUGACAUAUCUAAUUCCUCAAGUCCUGGAGAUCACUUCAAGAUUGAAAGCUCUGGAUUAAAAUUCCUGAUUCUAUUCAUAGAAAGGCACAGAUACUCUGAUGCCUCAUAGACACAUCACCUAGAGAGGAGUGUGUCCAAAUGAAGGUUCCGCUUCCCAACCCUUUCUUUUCCAUUCUCAUCUGUGGCUAUCUGUGGUCCAUCACCAUAACCGUAUCAGACCAAGGCCUUGUCAAGGUGUUCUAUUCAGUGCCCUGGAACUGGAAUUGAAGACACAGGCUGCCCGGAUACUUGCCUCAUUUCUCAUAGGAUCAUUCCUAAAUCAAUUUUUUAAAAGAUUUAUUUUUUAUUUGAAAUGCAGAGUUACAGAGAGACAGAGAGAGAGAGAGAGAAUGAAUCUUCCAUCCGCUGAUUCAUUCCUCAAAUGGCUGUAACAGCUGGAGCUGGGCCAAUCUGAAGCCAGGAGCCAGGAGCUUCUUCACGGUCUCCCGCAUGGGUGCAGGGACCCAAGGACUUGGGCCAUCUUUUACUGCUUUCCCAGGCCAUAGCAGAGAGCUGGAUCGGAAGAGGAGCAGACAGGACUUGUAUUGGCAUCCAUAUGGGAUGCCGGUGCUGCAGACUGUAGAUGGCAGCUUUACCCACCAUGCCACAGCACUGGCCCCUCCUAAAUCAAUUUAAUAUAGUUGAUAUUUGUGAAUGGAAGUAGAAUUAGUAUGUCUGAUUUGUUGAUUCUUAUUUUAAAGUCUUUGUAAACAUUAGUACAUGGAGUUCUUUGGAUCUGAUUAUAUUGUGUCACAUUCCUGUUCAUAUUCCUUCAUGUUUUCAUGCCUCCUUUGGUGCAUUAGCUAUUUAGUUUUUGUCAGGUAUCACAAUUGCAGAUUUAUUUGUAGAGAUAAUUUCAGGCCUAGGAUGAUCUCUUCCUCUGGUGAGGACUAUAGCUUUUUCCAGGUCCCUGGGACCUCUGGCAACCUGGAAUCAUCUUAGACCUCUUUUAGACACCAUGAAGCUCUGAAGCCGACAGCAGCUGGGAGGGCCUCUCAGUUUCCAGCUCACCUUUAGUUGACUGGCGGAUGCACAACUUUAGGAUCCCAACUUACGGCAAGACCUUCUUUCCAAACCAGAUUGUGGCUGUGGGAGGGGAGGCUCUCAUUGUCUUUCUCUUUCUGUCCUCUUAGGCUGCUAGGUUGUCACUCAGUCUCUCUGCCUCUCAGACAGUAACUCUCUGAAUUUAGUGUUAGUUCAAUACUGAGGUAGCCUCAAAAUCAAGGAGUGGAUGAGGAGGAAAGGAGGAAUGAAUGAACAACAACAAAAAGGAGCAAUUUAAAAACUUUAAAUCAUUCAGUAGUGUAAGUUAUUUGAAGAAUGAGAAUGUCUGGGACCUGAAUCAGGGAAACAUGGUAUAAAGGAUUAGAGCCAUGAAUGAAAGUCCGUGUUGAACCCAAAGAUCAAUCAGGAGAGAAUGAAACAUUAAAUAAUUGUAAUAAAGUUUAUUGUUUUUUGUGUUUUUUAGGCCUUUCAUUUCUAUCAGCAAUGUCUUUAGCUUUCUGUUAGAGAUUUGGCAUAUUUUUGUUGGAUUAAUUCCCAGGUAUUUGGUUUUUUUAAUGGUCUUGUAAAUGGCAUUCUAUUUUUAUGUUUCAUUUUUCACUUGUUGGUUUUAUAUAGAGAUGCAAUUGAUUUCAUAUAUUGAUCUGGCAUCCUGAAACUUUGCUAAUUCUCUUGUGCAUAAUCACGUAGUCUGCUAAUAGGAACAGUUUUAGUCAUUCCCUGCUUUGUAAUAUUUAUGAAUUUAACAUCUUUCCUUUUUUUAUUUACUUGAAAGUCAAGAGUUACAGAGAAAGAGGGAUAGACACACACACACACAGAUUUUCCAUCCAUUGUUGCACUUCCAAGAUGACCACAGUGGCCUGGCUGGGCCAAAGCCAGGAGCCAGCACCUUAUUUCAGGUCUCGCACUUGAGUAGCAGGGGCCCAAUACUUGGGCCAUACUCUGCUGCUUUCUGAGGUGCAUUAGCAGGGAGCUGGAUUGAAAGUGGAGCAGCUGGGACUCCCCAGACACCCAUGUGGGAUGCUGGCAUCCUGUACUGUGGCUACACCUGCUGUGCCACAGUGCCGAACUCUCAUAUUAAUAUACUGAAUUACAUUGGUUGCUGUUGAGUGCUAAUUCACCUUUGCAUGUCACUGGGGGAAAGAACAUUCCAUGACUUAUUGCUGGCUUUUAUUUACUAAUGUCUUGCUGAUUUUUGUAUGUGUGAUUGUGAGAGAUACUUGUGUAUAAUUAUAUGCUUUGGAAUAUCUUAAUUUUGUAGUUUAGAAUUAUGCCAACUUUGUGAAAUGGAUUGGAAAUAUUUUUGUCUCCUCUAUUUCCUGAAUUUGUGAGAGAUUUUAAAUUUUUUUCCUUUAAUAUAUAAAUUAAUUCAGUAUUGGAACAAUCUUAGAUAAAUUAUGUUUUGUGUUGGAAAGUUUAUGAUCACAUAAACAUUCCUUUAUAGAUGUGGACUAUUUGAAUUCUGUGUAACUUUUUUUUUGACAGGCAGAGUGGAUAGUGAGAGAGAGAGAGAGAGAAAGGUCUUCUUUUUGCCGUUGGUUCACCCUCCAAUGGCCGCCACGGCUGGUGCGCUGCAGCUGGCGCACUGCACUGAUCCGAAGCCAGGAGCCAGGUGCUUCUCCUGGUCUCCCAUGGGGUACAGGGCCCAAGGACUUGGGCCAUUCUCCACCGCCUUCCCGGGCCACAGCAGAGAGCUGGCCUGGAAGAGGGGCAACCGGAAAAGAAUCUGGCGCCCCGACCGGGACUAGAACCCGGUGUGCUGGCGCCGCUAGGUGGAGGAUUAGCCUAUUGAGCUGCGGCGCUGGCCUGUGUAACUUUAUUUAAACUUUUAAUUAAUAUGUAAUAUUGAUAUUUUUAUAGAGUACAGUAUAACACCUCAACAUGUGUGUAUCUGUGUAUAUAUAUUUUUUUCCAUAGUGAUCCAUCCAUGCAGUUAGCCUUUUAAUUUCUUUUUUUUUUUUUUUUACUUUUUAAAUCAUUUAUUUAUUUGAAAGUCAGAUUUACACAGUGAGAGAAGGAGAGGCAGAGAGAGAGCAAGAGAGAAAGAGAGAGGUCUUCCAUCCUCUUGUUCACUCCCCAAUUGGUCUCAACUGUUGGAGCUGAGCCGAUCCAAAAGAGGGAGCCAGGAGUUUCGGGGUCUCGCACGCAGGUGCAGGGGCCCAAGGACCUGAGCCAUCUACUAUUGCUUUCCCAGUCCAUAGCGGAGAGCUGGAUUGGAAGUGGUGAAGCUGUGACUCGAACCAGCACCCAUAUCGGAUGCUGGCACUGCAGGUGGCAGCUUUACCUGCUAUGCCAAGCGCCAGCCCUGCCUUUUAAUUUCUUUAUCUUUUUCUUGUGUUUUAGAACCUGCCACUGCCUCUCCUCCAGUUCUUUAUACAAUGUAAGACAUUAUUCUGAACAAUAGUUACUAGCUGUAGAGCAGAACUGGUUACUUCUGUUUGUGCUUUGGUACCUAUUAUCCGGACUCUGGCUGUCUUGCUCCCUCUCCCCUUCUUGUCUACAGCAAUCACUACUCCAGGUUUGGAUUGACUACUUUUUAACUUCCACAAAUGAGGGAGAACCUACAAUGUUUGUCUUUCUGUUUUGGCUUAUUUCACUUAGCAUAAUGAUCUCCAGUUGCAUUUCAUUUUACAAAUUAAAAGAUUUCAUACCUUUAUGACUGUAAUAUUCUAUCAUGUAUAAUUGUGACAUUUUCUUUAUUCACUCAUCCCUUGAUGAACAUCUAGAUUGAUUCCCUUUCUUGACUAUUGUGAAUAGUGCUGCAGUGAACAUAGGAAUCCAGGUAUCUCUUUCACAUGCUACUCUCAAUUCUUUUACGUGUAUACACAGAAGUAGGAUGCCUGGGUCAAAUGAUAGACCGAUUUUUAAUUUUUUGAGCAACCUCCGUGGUGUUCUGUCUAAUGACUUUACUAAUUUGUUUUCCCACCAUAUUCUUGGUGGUAUUUAUUAUGUUUUGUCUUUUUGAUAAUAUUCAUUCUAAGAGAAGUGAAAUGAUACCUCCUUAUGUAUUUUUUUAAUUUAUUCAUUCAUUCAUUUGUUUGUUUGAAAGGCAGGUUUGCAUAGAGAGAGACAGACAGAUUUUUCAUCUUCUACCCACUGACUGCAACAACUAGUGCAGAGCUGGGUUCAAACCAGGAGGCAGGAGCCAAUAGCUUCAUCUGCGUAACCCACAUGGGUGAAGGGACCCAAGGACUUGGGCCAUUCUUCACUGCUUUCCCAGGCACCUUAGCAGGGAGCUGGAUCAGAAAUGGAGCAGCUGGGACUCAAAGAGGUACUCCUAUGGUAUGCCAGAUUUAACUCAUUGUGCCAGAAUGCCAGCCCAUCAUUCUGGUUUUGAUCUUCAUUUCCCUGAUACCUAGUGUUGUGGAGUGUUUUAUCAUGUAUUUGUUGGUUAUUUGUAUUUCUUCUUUUGAAGUACGUCUGUCUAGAUCUUUUAUCCAUUUCUUGACUAGAUUUUUUUCUCUUUCUAGUUGAGUUUUUUGAAUUUCUUGUAUCUUCUGGAUAUUAAUUAUUUGUCACAUUAAUAAUUUGAAAAUAUUUUCUCCCAUCUGUUUGCUAUCUCUUCACUUCAUUGAGUGUUUGCUGAGCAGAAUCUUCUUACUUGGAUAUAAUCUCAUUUGUCUGUUUUUGCUUUUGUUAUCUGUGCUUUGCGAUCUUAUCCAAGAAGUUUUUCCUAUACCUAUGUCUUGAAGUGUUUCUCUUGUAUUUUUUUCUAGUAGUUUCAGGUCUAACAUUUAGUACUUUGAUCCAUUUUAAAUUGAUUUUUGGUGUGUGUGUGUGUGUGUGUGUGUGUGUAUUAGGGUUGGCGGUUGUUUCAAUCUUCUGCAUAUGAAUGCCUAAUUUUCCCACCAGUAUUUAUUGAAGGGGCUGACCUUUCUUCAGCAUAUGUUUUGGCAUCUUUGUUAAUGAUUUUUUGGCUUUGUGUCAUUUAUAGGUUAUAUUUUGUAAGGGAUUUUCUAUUUCAUAUCAAUUUUCAGCUUAAUAGGCAAAAUAUUUAUUAUGUUCCCAUAUUCCUUACUUGUAAAUUCCUUUGAUUUAAUUUAGUUUAUUUAUUUGAAAGGCAGAGUGACUGAGAGAGAGAUGGAAAGAGAGAGAGAGAUCUUCCAUUCACUGGUACACUCCUCAGAUGUCUGCAACAGCCUGGACUGGGACAAGCCGAAACCAGAAGCCAUCCAGUUCUCCCAUGUGGGUGGUAGGGGCCCAAGUACUUUGUCCACCUUUGUAAAGUUCCCAGGUGUAUUAGCAGGUAGCUGGCUUGGAAGUGGAGAGGCCAGGACUUGAACUGGAACUCAUAUAUUGUAUGCCUGCUUUGUAGGCAGCUUGUUAAUCUGCUUGACCGCAUGUCACCACCUCCCCUCUUCCCUUCCCUUACUCCUCCCCCCAUAAAUUUUUUCAAGUGCUUAUAUGAUCUGUGGUAAAAUUUUCCUUUUUUAUCCUUGAAAUAGGUAUUUAUGCUUUUCCUUUUUCCCCCUUAAAUAGCCUUGCUGGAGUUCUAUCAAUUGUACAAUUCUUCUCGAAACCUUACUUUCACUGUUCUUCAAUAUUAGUCCAUUUUUUGUUUUAUCUUUAUUCUUACAUUCAUGACUUCUUUCUUAGGUUUAAUUUGUUCUUUUUCCCACACUUACUGUAUAUGGGGUUUCUCCCCAGCGUGGACCUUCUGAGGGACAUGGGAGUCUGAGUCUGGCCACAGUGCUUCCCGUGAUGGCAUUUGCAGAAUGUCUCACCCGUGUGCAGUCUCUGGUGUAUGAGAAUUUGAUAGUUACUUGAUAAUUUGAUUGUUGUUUGAUUUUGACUUGUCCUACAGAGCCUAUAAUAUUUACUGAUCCCCACUCUUAUAUUUAAAGUUUCUAUUUCUUUUACUUUUCAAAUCAUGCUAAAUGUUAUCUUCAGGAUUUUCUACAUACAAGAAGGUAUUAUUUGUAAAUAGAUAAUUUUGUAUUUUUAUUCUAGUUUGGAUUUUUUUUUUAUUUCUUUUUCUUGCUUAACUGCUCUGGCUUAAACUUCCAAUACCGUUUUGAAUAUAGAUGAGGAAAGUGAAUAUCCUUUCCUUGACCCAUGUCUUAGAAGAAAAGAUUUCAAGGUUUCACAAGUAAGUGUGAUGUUCACUGUGUGUGGGCUUUUCUUAUAUGGCUUUAUGUUGUGCUGGCCUCCUUCAAUUGCCAUUUAUUGAUUGGUCUGUUUUUUUUUUUUUUAAAUCAGAAAAUAGUGUUAAAUAUUGUCAGAUUAGUAAAUCAUGGACAAAAUACCUUUUCUCCCUCAUUAACACAAAAAAUGCUGUUAUUUUCCCUCUUCAAUCUGUUAAUGUAGGGUAGGACAUUGAUUGAUUUUCAUAUGUUCAAUGAUCUUUAUAUUCCAAAAAUAAAUCUCAUUUGGUUUUUGUGUAUAAUAUAGUGCUGAAUUGUUUGCUAGUAUUGUUAAAGAUUUUUAAAUCAAUGAUCACAAGUUAUAUUGGCCUGUACUUUGCUUUAUUUAAGGGUCAGGCUCGUCUGUGACCAUUGCACCCUAAACGCGCCUGAUCUCGUCUGAUCUUGGAAGGUCAGGCUUCAGUAUCAUGGUAAUGCUGGUCUUAUAGAAUGAAUUAGAAAUUAUCCUCUACUCCAAAAUUUUUCUGAAAAUGUUUCAGGAGGAUUGGUGUUAGUUCUUUAAAUAUUUGGAGCAGUUCACCAUUGCAGCCAUCAGACCCAUUUCUUCAUUUUGUCAGGCAAUUUUUACUAAUUCGGUCUUCAUGUUAAUUAUAGGUAUAUUCAUGUUUUCUAUUUCUUUCUGAUUCUGUCUUGGUAGAUUUUGUGUUUUUAGGAAUUUGUCCAUUUCAUCUAGGUCAUCUGAUUAGUUAGUAUACAGUUGUUCAUACUAUUCUAAUACUUUCAUUUCUUAGAAUUGGUGGUAAUAUUCUCUUUUUUGUCUAAGACGUAGUACUUUGAGGCCUCUCUUGCUUUUCUAAGUCUAUGUAUCUAAGGGUUUUUUUAAUGUUUAUCUUUUUAAAGAAACAAGUUUCAGUCUCGUUUCAGUCUCAUUGGUUUUCUCAAUUUUUUUUUUUUUUUUUUGACAGGCAGAGUGGACAGUGAGAGAGAGAGAGAGAAAGGUCUUCCUUUGCCGUUGGUUCACCCUCCAAUGGCCGCCGCGGCCAGCGCACCGCGCUGAUCCGAAGGCAGGAGCCAGGUGCUUCUCCUGGUCUCCCAUAGGGUGCAGGGCCCAAGGACUUGGGCCAUCCUCCACUGCACUCCCUGGCCACAGCAGAGAGCUGGCCUGGAAGAGGGGCAACCGGGACAGAAUCCGGCGCCCCAACCGGGACUAGAACCGGCCGGUGCCGCGAGGCGGAGGAUUAGCCUAGUGAGCCGCGGAGCCGGCCCUCAAUUUUUUCCUUAUUGUCUGUCAUAUUUAUCUCUUUUCUAAUCUAUGUUAUUUUCUUCCUCUUGGUGGUUUUCACUAGUUGCCCUUCCUCCCCUUUUUUUCAUUCCUCAAGUUGAAAUAUUACGUGAUUUCUCACAUUUAAAAAAGAGAGAGAAAGGCAGAUAGAAGUAGAGUUUCCAAAUGCCCACCACAGCCAGGGCUGGGGCUGACCAAAGCUGGGAGCAUGAAACUCAGUCCAGUUCACCACUGCCUUACAGUGUGCAUUAGAAGGAAGCUGGAGUCAGCAGUCCGAGAAAGGAAUUGAACCCAGGCAUUGCAAUAAGAGUUAACACCCACUCCUACUUUGAAAAUUUGAUAAUGUUAUCUAUUAUUUAGCAUUUUCAAUCUGCAGAUGAUUACAAAUUUAAUUGAGCAACAGCUAAUUUAACAAUAUUCUAUAUCUGCUGAGGAAAACACCAACACUGAAACCUUGGCCUCUUGAGCUAAUUUAGCUUAGCUUAAGGAUAUAUUUUUUACUUUCAUGGAGCUUUUGUUGAGGCACACCUUGUGAACAGGGACAUUUCCAUCAUGUUGCAUACACUUUGAGGACGAAGAUUACACUGUUUUUAUUCCUUGUUAUGCUCAGCUCCUGGCAGAGUGUGUGCACAGUAGUAAAAACUCGCUAGAUAAAUAGGUGUGGUUACUGUGACGUGGUGGAAAAGAUAGAUUUUCUCAUUAUUAACUAGGUCUGACUUUGAAAAUGCUUCAUACCUUUCUUUUUCCUUGUUUUUGAAUGACAACUAUACCUACAAUGGAGGCAGAAUUAUAAUUCUAUAACAUGGUAACCUGGUGAAAACAUGGCCAUGUAGCUACUGCUUUCCUGUUGCGUGGUCAAUACCACUGACAUUACUCCUAGUUUAUAUAUAUAUAUAUAUAUAUAUAUAUAUAUAUAUAUAUAUAUAUACACACACACACACACACACACACACAUACACAUACACACACACACAUAUAUAUAUUCUCUCUCUCUCUCUCUCUCUAUGUAUAUUUAUAUAGAAUGAUCCAUUUGACAUACUAUCAUCAGAUAUAUCACCUUAGUUGAUGAUUUGGGGUGGCCUUUAUUGCUUAAAGCACAUUUUUCAAUGUUAAGUCAUAAAAUGAUGAACAUAUGGUCUUAUUAUUAGGUUUCUCUGGAAUCUAGUCUCUAUAUUUGACAAAAAUCUGUUACUAGUAUUUUUUUGAAUAAGAGUCUCUAUAGUCUAUAAAUUUAAAUCUGAUCUUAAUAUAAUGUAAGCCUCCUAUAGAUAGAAAAAAUGUUCCUGUUCACACUGGUAUAUAACUUUGGAUUAUGAUGUUCAGUUUCAUGGUUUUUUUUAAUGUUUAUUUUUUAAUGUUUAAUUUUCAGAGCACUGCAAGCUUAAUUUUGAGACUGAAGGUUUAAUUUCAAAAGGAUAUGUUUAGAAGUCUCUUGUACUGGAUUUCUGAAAACAUUGCAUUUCAUCCUAUUAUGGAAAGUAUAAACAGGUUAUAGCUUAGAAACAGGUGCUAGAAGACUCAGCUCUUCGAACUUCAUAGGGCUGUCUUCCAGCUGUGCACAGCCAAUUGUUUACAUGUGAUUUUGAAUAGCUCUGAAUUAGAAGGCUACAUCUUUCUUUUUUCUCCUCUGUUUGUUAAUUGGCAGUACACAGCAUAAGCUCCAUUCAUGUGUAAAAUAAAAUGCAUUUCAUUUCCAAUGACAUCAGCAUUUUCUCAUAGGAAACUGAAUAUCUAAGGAAAGGAAAUCUUCAAAAUUUUUUGAAUGCGUUGUUAAUUGUGAUUUAGUACAAGUGCACUUUUAAAAAAAUAAGUGUUUACUGAGUGUCUACUUUGUGCCAUGCAUUUCAAGGGAUAAGAAUAUAAUUGUGAAUAUGAUGGGCAAGAUUGAAAUUAUUAUAGGGAUUACAUUCUGGAAGAGGGGUAUGGCCAACUAGCCAACCAGCCAAGCAACCAACCUAUAAACCAACCAGAUUUUUCCAGUUAAUGAUGACUGUCAUGGAGAAAACAGUACAAUGUGUACUAGAGAGUGGAUCAGGGAUUGGUGCAUGGUAGGGUAUAGUGUGGUAGAGUGAGGAUACUUUCUUUUUUUUGGUAAUUUUUUAAUUUUAAGCCUCUAAAAAUUACUUAUGUGACCAUUCUACCAAUAAAAAGUGAGUAUGUAUUUCUAAAAUUAAUUUUACUGCAUGGACAAGAUAACUUUCACAUUUAAUAAAAUUUGUAAUAAUUCCUUGUGUCAUCUUAAUAGCUGAUUCAUAUUUAAAUUUCCUCCAAUUGUUCACCAAUGUCCUUUUACAGGUAGCUUAAAAACAAACAUGAUUGAGUUCAGGGUUUUGAUACUAAAUCUGAUAGUCAUUUCCCUUAUGUCUCUCUUUUGAUCUAAAGUUUUUUCAUAAUAUAGAGACUUGGCCAAAUUAUCUUUUUGAAUAUUUUAUAUUCUGGACAUUGCUUCAUUUCUCCCUGAUAGUGCCAUUUAGCUUACAGUUCAAUACUUUAUGUUUUCUUCAUUUUGGAAUUUACUUCCAAACAUUUUAUUAGAAUCUAAUUAAACCUCUUUAGACAGAAUGCAUUUAGUGAUACAUAUUUCAUACUGCAUUAUAUCUGCUAACAAAUACUGUCAUUAAAAUUAAAAAUUGACCACUAUAUGAUGGAGAUGGUUGCUUGUCCUCUUGUUGCACAUUAAAAUUUCCUUUUACAAUCAGAAAAUAAUCUCUUAGUGCACUUUGGCACCAUAUAUGCAUCUAGUUCCCAAUCAACCUUCUAUGUAGUGGUUUUAAAAUCAAUUUGUUAUCCUUGUCUGAAUAUGUAAUCUCAUUAGACAUCACAAAAUAAUUAACCUUUUCUAAUUCUUCCUUCUAUGGUUACUAUUCAUAAGUCUGCAAUAAAGUAAUUUUACCAUAUGAACUAGAAUCAUUUUGUUAUUUUGAAAUAUAGUUCCUAUUAUUAAGACAGAGAUCUAUGUGUUUAGUUUUUUUUUCUUUGAUUUCCAAUUUUCAAAGAAAAAUGGAUUUUAUUUUGAAGGAGGAGGUUGGGUGGGAUGGGAAGUAUCACUGUGUUUCUAAAUCUAUAUAUAUGAAAUACAUUAAAUUUGUAUACCUUAAAUAAAAAUAAAAGUAAUUGAUCGAUUAAAAAAAGAAAAAUGGAUUCAAUAGUCAAUUUUUAAAAAAGAUUUAUUUAUUUGAAAGUCAGAGCUACACAGAGAGAGAGAGAGAGAGAGCGCGCUCUUCCAUUUGAUGGUUCACCCCCUAACUGGCCACAAAGGCCGGAGCUUCGCUGAUCUGAAGCCAGGAGCCAGGAGCCUCCUCUGGGUCCCCAAUGCCGGCACAGGGGCCCAAGGACUUAGGCCAUCCACCACUGCCUUCCCAGGCCACAGCAGAGGACUGGGCCUCAAACCUGCGCCCACAUGGGAUGCCGGUGCCUCAGGCCAGGGCAUCAACCUGCUGUGUCACAGUGCCGGCCCCUUAAUAGCCAAUUUGAAAGGCAAAAGUGAGGGACCAGCAUUGUUGCAUAGUGGGUUAAACUGCCACCUGGGAAACUGGCAUCCCAUAUGAGUGCCAGUUGGAGUCUCGAAUACUCCACUUCUGAUAUAACUCCCUGCUAAUUGCCUGGAAAAGCAACAAGAGAUGACCCAAGUAAUCGGGCCCUUGUCACUCAUUUGGAAGACCAGGGUGAGAUUUAGGCUUCUAAGUUUGGUCUGGCCCAUCAUGGGCCAUUGUGGCCAUUUGGGGAGUGAUGCAGAUGGAAGAUUUCUCUCUCUCCCUCCCUCCCUCCCUCUCUCUCUCUUUCUUUUCCUCCCUCCCUCCCUCCGUCUGUGCAACUCUGCCUUUCAAAUAAAUGAAUUAAUCUUUAAAAAAAUAAAAGAAUGAGUUUUUCCCUUUUUUCUUUUUUGAAUAUUGUAGAUUCAUGCAUUUUAUUGAUUUGAUGUUUUAUUGAAUAUUCAAUAAUCACAUUAUUUUCUUGUCCUUUUCAGUCCUUAAAUUGUCACAAUUUUGGCCAUUGGAAGACCUCUUCUAGCUGACUCUGGAGUUAUCUUGACAUGACUCCAUUGUAGCAAUGAUUAGGAAGAAUGUUCUUUAAAAGGAUAUAGUGCUUAGUAGCUUGUGGCUUUUGUCAGCUUGUUUGACAAAGUGACGGCCAAGCUAUUUUCACAUCUUGGCUACUGAAAACAGUACUCUGUGCUAAUACCCUUUCAAGAUCUUGAUUUCAAUCCUUCGGGAGAAAUAUGCAGAAGUUAGGUUGUUGGAUCAUAUGGCAGUUCUAUUUUUUAUUUGUUGAGAAACCUCUAUAUUGUUUUCCAUAGCAGCUGCAGCAUUUUGCAUUCCCACCAACAGUGUACAUGGGUUCUCCACAUCCUUGCUAACACUUGCUGUUUUUUGUUUGUUGGUUUUGGUAAUACUGCGUGAUAGACUUAAAAAUUUGUAGAUCACAUGUUAAACAUUCUUUCUAUAAUAAAAAAAUUAAAAGUGACAACCAAAGGUGGGUGUCUAUUGCUAUGGUUAGUAUUUGGCACAUGUAUUGCAAUUAAGGUUUGAAUUUACAAAUCACAGUUUAGCUUCAAUUUUUGAAAUAGUGAAGUCUGUAUGGGACUAAAAUCUAUUAAAUACAAUUUCUAUGCAACAAGCAAAUUAUUUCUUGUGUAUUGUUCAUAAAUAAUGGAAUGCUGUGAAAUGAAUACUUAACAAGAAAUAUAGACUUAUAAAAAUAAUGCACCAUUUGCCUAAGUUUAUGUGUUUAGCAGGAUUUAUUGUGGCUGUAAAUUAUUUCAAAAUUGACUGCAGUAUUCCAUAGAUUUAAUAUGUAGAUAUUUGGCAAGCAGCCCAUUAACAAAACAAAACAGAAGAAAUACUAAGUAGUUUCAUCUACUUUCCCUAAGUUAGAUUUGUAAACCAUUUAGCUUUGCUUUGUUAAGAAUCUUUGCAUACAUUCUGAUAUAUUUAGUAAAUAUUAACAUUUCUAUAAAAUUAUACCUGAGUAGUGUACAUAUCUUUCUGUACUUACAUAUGUAUGUGCAUGUGUGUGUGUGUGUGUGUGUGGGUGUUUGUGUGUUGUGUGGAAGUAGUUAUCUCUCUGUGACUGGAUUCUGAAUCUGGAUACAAACAUCUGGGGUUGGAAGUCCUUGAAAAAUAAAAUAUUGCAUCUGUAAUGAACACAUACAGGUUUUUUCUUCUGAUUAUUCCCUAAACAACAGUGUAUAACAACUAUUUACACAGCAUUUACAUUUCAUUAGAUACUAUGAGUGAUCUUGAAAUUAUUUAAAGUAUAUGAAAGCAUGUGCAUCUGUUGUGCACAAAUAUUGUAUUUACUUGAAGGGCAGAGUUAGAGAGGGAGAGGGAG
This is a non-coding RNA of Oryctolagus cuniculus (rabbit), 19149 nucleotides long. The record is from RefSeq and is a predicted model, not a curated record. Lineage: Eukaryota; Metazoa; Chordata; Mammalia; Lagomorpha; Leporidae.